RNAcentral lists this non-coding RNA (19 nucleotides) under Arabidopsis thaliana (thale cress). Lineage: Eukaryota; Viridiplantae; Streptophyta; Magnoliopsida; Brassicales; Brassicaceae. The record is from RNAcentral.
UGGAUUGAAGGGAGCUCUU